Non-coding RNA from Vicugna pacos (alpaca), 1230 nucleotides. The record is from RefSeq and is a predicted model, not a curated record. Lineage: Eukaryota; Metazoa; Chordata; Mammalia; Artiodactyla; Camelidae.
UUAAUAGGGUUCUCAGAUUUAGCAAAUACAAACACAGGACAUCCAGCUAAACCUGAAUUUCAGAUAAAUAGUGCAUAUUUCCUUAGCCUAAGUAUGUCUCAGAUACUGCAUGGGCAAAGGACAAUAAUCUAUACAUUUGUAAGCUCCGCAGGUGAUGUCAUCAAACCCUAGCUGUAGCGGAGAAGAGAAGUGAGGAAGGGGAGGUAUGGAGGAAGGGGAGGUAUGGAGGAAGAGGGAGACCAGGAAGCUCGUGGAAGCAUUGUCUCCUUUGAUACCACUGGUUUGCAGCUUUUGCUGGACCAAAAGGCAUGGACAGAACUAUUUGUUUUCAAUGAAGUUUGUUCUCCACUCGACCCAAAACAAGAUCACAAGGGUACCAGAAGCAGUCCCGUCUGUAUCUGCGUUCUUCACCUUAACGCGUCCCCAGCGAGGGAGAGGACCGGGACAUAGAACCGUGGUUGCCCGUAUUCACCACUAGGUGGUGCUCUCGCCUGGGAAAAUGACUUGCCAGCGACAGGAGCACCGACAAAUGCGCAGAUGCAGCACCGCCCGCGAAAUUGCUGAUGCUCCUCAGGCGUUGCCAAGUCAACCCGUGUCAGGCCUGUGUCCUGUUGGAACGCGCUACUAGAUACGGCGUCUAACUCCUCAUCUCCAGUUCCAGACCCAUCACGCUACACGAGUGAAUCGAAGAGGAGGAUGCUUUGGAGGGAGUCAGGGGGAGAUUAGAUGGAAGAGGAGACUAUGACCUGGGAGGCCGAGAUUAGAGUGUUGUGGCCACAAGCCAAGGAAUGUCAAGGCCACCAGAAGCUCCUGGAAGAAGAGAGGAACAGAUCUGGCCGGAAGGGCUUCACUCCGUUGGAAUUCUCCACUCUGAAAAUCUUCUCUGAUGGGGUCACCGACCCCAGAGAGGAAGCUAUCACUGAGUGAAGUUCAGGAGGAUAGGAGUUGACCUGCAGUUCAUCCUAUGUCUGUGUCGUGCUCUGCUUCCACAAGCCAAUAACUUUAUGAUUUCUCCCUGAUAUCAAGGGACGCAUGGAAAUCCACAGAGAUUUGCUCAACUCAACAAGCAUGUGCUGAUCAGGGGAGGUUGCCAAAAUGAGCCAACUGUUGCCCUUUGUGGCUUGAAGUGUUUCUUUUCUGAUCAGUAUCACCAGAUCCUCAGCACCUUACACAGGCUUAUGAGAAAAAUUUUUUUUUCUAAAUGAGAAACUAGUAAAAAUUUCAUUCAUU